GCGCUACUGGAUGAGCCCGCGUGAGAUUAGAUAGUUGGUGGGGUAAUGGCCUACCAAGUCGACGAUCUCUAGCUGGUCUGAGAGGAUGAUCAGCCACACUGGGACUGAGACACGGCCCAG
This 120-nucleotide ribosomal RNA is filed under the name uncultured bacterium. RNAcentral's name for it is "partial 16S ribosomal RNA". It matches the Rfam family "Bacterial small subunit ribosomal RNA", at positions 215 to 334 of the family's 1533-position model. The record is from RNAcentral.